Lepidothrix coronata (blue-crowned manakin) is the source of this 650-nucleotide long non-coding RNA. RefSeq lists it as uncharacterized. The record is from RefSeq and is a predicted model, not a curated record. The transcript has 4 exons. Lineage: Eukaryota; Metazoa; Chordata; Aves; Passeriformes; Pipridae.
AUUUAGAAAACUGGUAACUGUUUCAGAACACAUAUUGUAACUAACUGAUUCACAGGAGCUUUUCCAGUGACUGAUCUUGCCAGGUCCUGCAUCAGCCUUUCUCUGAAACUGCAGGAGCAGUUCAUAUAGACUGUGCAUCCUAGAUCAGAUGUCUCAAACAAGAUGUUGGAAAUCUCAUCCAGGAGGCCUAAAGAAGUCCACCGGUUCAUACAGAGAUGGAAAAAAUGAUGCUUUUUCUCCUGACAUGGAAGUGUUACAGCUGACUCACAAAUGUUCCUGCUCCUCCAGGACUGUGGCUGCUCUGUCCCAUUCUGACUUGAAAAAGUUUUGGGAAUGACCCUUGCUUAUAUCUUUAAGUAACAUAAUAUGUUAACUUUAAAAUACUUGCCUUUGUGUCAUGUCCCCCCUACUUUUAUUUAGAUCUUUCCCUUUCUCACUCCCACAAUUUUUCUAUCAUGAAAGACUUUCAAACACUUUCUAGCAACUUUCAAAAUACCAGCCUUUAUUACAACUAUUUAUUCUGUUGAUAUUGCUUUUCUCUUAUUUGAUUUUUCCUUUUUGACCUCAUAGAAUCACAGCAUAUACUAAGUUGGAAGGAACCCAUUAGGAUCGUCAAGUCCAACUCUUGGCCCUGCACAGCGUACCCCAAG